Molecule: ribosomal RNA, 232 nt
Filed under: uncultured soil bacterium
Lineage: Bacteria
Description: partial 16S ribosomal RNA
Rfam family: Bacterial small subunit ribosomal RNA
Source: RNAcentral
AGAUUGAACGCUGGCGGCACGCUUAACACAUGCAAGUCGAGCGGUUUGAUAUCUAGCUUGCUAGAUAUCGGAUAGCGGCGGACGGGUGAGUAACGCGUAGGAAUCUGCCUUAGAGCGGGGGAUAACACGGGGAAACUCGUGCUAAUACCGCAUAAUACCUGAGGGUUAAAGAGGGCGAAAGCACUCACUCUAAGAGGAGCCUGCGUUGGAUUAGCUAGUUGGUAGGGGUAAA